CCUACGGGGGGCUGCAGUGGGGAAUAUUGCACAAUGGGCGCAAGCCUGAUGCAGCCAUGCCGCGUGUAUGAAGAAGGCCUUCGGGUUGUAAAGUACUUUCAGCGAGGAGGAAGGCGUUAAGGUUAAUAACCUUGGCGAUUGACGUUACUCGCAGAAGAAGCACCGGCUAACUCCGUGCCAGCAGCCGCGGUAAUACGGAGGGUGCAAGCGUUAAUCGGAAUUGGUGGGCGGAAAGCGCAGAUGUGAAAUCCCCGGGCUCAACCUGGGAACUGCAUUUGAAACUGGCAGGCUUGAGUCUUGUAGAGGGGGGUAGAAUUCCAGGUGUAGCGGUGAAAUGCGUAGAGAUCUGGAGGAAUACCGGUGGCGAAGGCGGCCCCCUGGACAAAGACUGACGCUCAGGUGCGAAAGCGUGGGGAGCAAACAGGAUUAGAUACCCGAGUAGUC
This 444-nucleotide ribosomal RNA is filed under the name uncultured bacterium. RNAcentral describes it as "partial 16S ribosomal RNA". It matches the Rfam family "Bacterial small subunit ribosomal RNA", at positions 338 to 795 of the family's 1533-position model. The record is from RNAcentral.